GGCUCAAAUUUGUUCCGAAUUUCAAGUGGCAAACUACUCGAGAUCCAUGGCAUUGGCUCGUAUCUCGUGGUACGUAUUUUCGUCAAUGUCGGUUCACGUAUUCGAAGCUAGCAGGAGAGUUGUUAGAUAUAGAACAAGUUCUACCGUGUUUACGUGCAAGUAAGCAAUCUUUUAUGUCAUGUUGGAUUAUUAUCUCGAAUAUAACGCCUUCUUAUAAGAAUAAUGCCGUCAUUUCGAUAUUUUUCGCGAGGAGCUGCAAAAAAACGAAUUCCUUCAUGACGAAACUAGACUGCUAGCCCACUCAAUCGUUCAAGAAAGGAACAAGCAAUGUCACCAGCCUAAUGCCAAGUAGGAAAUCACCUAUGCUCUUUGCUCCCGAAAAGAUUCGACUUGACCAAGUCCAUAUCAGAUUGAAACUGGAUUGGUCAUUACACUCUUAGAAAAACCUUUGGAUCUGUCCCCAAUAUAAUUGCCACGAAGAAAGUUUGUAAAAAGCUAGCAGUGAUUCAUACUCUGCAACUUUUUGCUGUCAGUCUUGGCAAUGGACUAGGAGAGAUUCUUAAUCAGUCAAUACUUGCUCAGAAUCAUCCACCAUUCUCUGUCCAAAGGCAGAGGAUUCAAUGGAUCAGUAUGGGUUGCCCCAACCGAUGUGCUGUACACUGACACAAACUGCUGCCAUGAGAAUGGUCCAUCAACCUAUAAGCUGCUUGUUGAGCAGCCAUGACCUGCUCACUAACACAAAAAUGAUCUUCCUGUGCAAUCUAUCUGAGGCCUAGUGUAGUUGCUGGUUCAAAAAUAAGACUUGGCUCAAAAGGGGUCACAAUGCUUCUGCAAAGGGAGAGUUUUGUACUGUAGCCUAAUGAUAACCAUAACUCCACUGCCUGUGCCAUGACCUUGUGAAUAUUUUGACCCAGAAAUCAGGAAAGGUUACAAUUUGUAGAAGAGCAGGUAAGCCUAGCUCACAAGCACCAGUAGGCCAUAGUUCCUCCAGCAGCAGUAGUUGUGCCCCAGUGAGCCAUUCCUUUGUCUGAACCACAGCAUGUCUUUAGCUCACUAGUCUUCAUCCUGAGCUCUGCAGAUGACCCUUGAACCUCUGCUUCGCAUCACCAAAGACUCCUGGAAGGAGGAAGUAGAAUCAAAGACCAGAAGACAUACUCCUGCAGAUUUUUCAAGCAGGCAAAAGCUUCAGAUGGGCAUUUCCCAUAAUAUGGGUACCAAUAUUGCCCUAACGAUCCAAGUGCCCCACCUCCUGAAACUGGGAAAUAUGUUUAGAGGCAGGAGCAGGAGAAUCGUCUUCUAGAGGGAAUGAACAAAAUAAACUGAGUUUUGUAUUAUUGUACAUAUUUGAAUUAGUUGUUUAUAGUCUUAUCUUUGAGUUGUAUUGUAUCCUAAUGCACAAAAAAUGUGUUUAUCUUGUUCCCAA
Molecule: long non-coding RNA, 1423 nt
Organism: Rhopilema esculentum
Lineage: Eukaryota; Metazoa; Cnidaria; Scyphozoa; Rhizostomeae; Rhizostomatidae
Source: RefSeq, a predicted model, not a curated record